Molecule: transfer RNA, 73 nt
Filed under: Felis catus (domestic cat)
Lineage: Eukaryota; Metazoa; Chordata; Mammalia; Carnivora; Felidae
Rfam family: tRNA
About the family: Transfer RNA (tRNA) molecules are approximately 80 nucleotides in length.
Source: Rfam by way of RNAcentral
ACCUGGCUGGCUCAGACAGUACAGCAUGAGAUUCUUGAUCUCAGGGUCAUGAGUUCAAGCCCCAUACUGGGUA